UAGAAGCUCAGAGUCUAAUUUCUGUGCUUUUCACACAAUGUCUCUCGUUUCUACGGUCGCAAAUCCACUGGUAUAAGUCGUGCUCCAUGUCAGUUUGUGCUGCCUGGCUCCCUCUGUUGGCGAUCUUCUUAGCUGGCAUGGAUACUAGUGGGUUUGUCUGUUUUUGCCGAUAUUGAAUAUUAGAUUCGCCGAUAUUAAACUGACGUCCUGCAGCUCUGUUACCAAAUCUGUCUCCAUAUUCCAUAACUUCCAUCUUCUCUUGUGAUGUCAGGAAGCUGUUUUUCUUUCCCAUCUAGUAGACUGGUAGUGGAGUUCAGGUACAUAGUAGUUGGUAGUGGAGUUCAGGUACAUAAUAGUUGGUAGUGGAGGUCAGGUACAUAGUAGUUGGUAGUGGAGUUCAGGUACAUAGUAGUUGGUAGUGGAGUUCAGGUACAUAGUAGUUGGCAGUGGAGGUCAGGUACAUAGUAAUUGGUAGUGGAGUUCAGGUACAUAGUAGAUUGGUAGUGGAGGUCAGGUACAUAGUAGAUUGGUAGUGGAGUUCAGGUACAUAGUAGUUGGUAGUGGAGUUCAGGUACAUAGUAGAUUGGUAGUGGAGUUCAGGUACAUAGUAGUUGGUAGUGGAGGUCAGGUACAUAGUAGUUGGUAGUGGAGUUCAGGUACAUAGUAGUUGGUAGUGGAGUUCAGGUACAUAGUAGUUGGUAGUGGAGUUCAGGUACAUAGUAGUUGGUAGUGGAGUUCAGGUACAUAGUAGUUGGUAGUGGAGUUCAGGUACAUAGUAGUUGGUAGUGGAGUUCAGGUACAUAGUAGUUGGUAGUGGAGUUCAGGUACAUAGUAGUUGGUAGUGGAGUUCAGGUACAUAGUAGUUGGUAGUGGAGUUCAGGUACAUAGUAGUUGGUAGUGGAGUUCAGGUACAUAGUAGUUGGUAGUGGAGUUCAGGUACAUAGUAGUUGGUAGUGGAGUUCAGGUACAUAGUAGUUGGUAGUGGAGUUCAGGUACAUAGUAGUUGGUAGUGGAGUUCAGGUACAUAGUAGUUGGUAGUGGAGUUCAGGUACAUAGUAGUUGGUAGUGGAGUUCAGGUACAUAGUAGUUGGUAGUGGAGUUCAGGUACAUAGUAGUUGGUAGUGGAGUUCAGGUACAUAGUAGUUGGUAGUGGAGUUCAGGUACAUAGUAGUUGGUAGUGGAGUUCAGGUACAUAGUAGUUGGUAGUGGAGUUCAGGUACAUAGUAGUUGGUAGUGGAGUUCAGGUACAUAGUAGUUGGUAGUGGAGUUCAGGUACAUAGUAGUUGGUAGUGGAGUUCAGGUACAUAGUAGUUGGUAGUGGAGUUCAGGUACAUAGUAGUUGGUAGUGGAGUUCAGGUACAUAGUAGUUGGUAGUGGAGUUCAGGUACAUAGUAGUUGGUAGUGGAGUUCAGGUACAUAGUAGUUGGUAGUGGAGUUCAGGUACAUAGUAGUUGGUAGUGGAGUUCAGGUACAUAGUAGUUGGUAGUGGAGUUCAGGUACAUAGUAGUUGGUAGUGGAGUUCAGGUACAUAGUAGUUGGUAGUGGAGUUCAGGUACAUAGUAGUUGGUAGUGGAGUUCAGGUACAUAGUAAUUGGUAGUGGAGGUCAGGUACAUAGUAGAUUGGUAGUGGAGGUCAGGUACAUAGUAGUUGGUAGUGGAGGUCAGGUACAUAGUAGUUGGUAGUGGAGGUCAGGUACAUAGUAGUUGGUAGUGGAGGUCAGGUACAUAGUAGUUGGUAGUGGAGGUCAGGUACAUAGUAGUUGGUAGUGGAGGUCAGGUACAUAGUAGUUGGUAGUGGAGGUCAGGUACAUAGUAGUUGGUAGUGGAGGUCAGGUACAUAGUAGUUGGUAGUGGAGGUCAGGUACAUAGUAGUUGGUAGUGGAGGUCAGGUACAUAGUAGUUGGUAGUGGAGGUCAGGUACAUAGUAGUUGGUAGUGGAGGUCAGGUACAUAGUGGUUGGUAGUGGAGGUCAGGUACAUAGUAGUUGGUAGUGGAGGUCAGGUACAUAGUAGAUUGGUAGUGGAGUUCAGGUACAUAGUAGAUUGGUAGUGGAGUUCAGGUACAUAGUAGAUUGGUAGUGGAGGUCAGGUACAUAGUAGUUGGUAGUGGAGGUCAGGUACAUAGUAGUUGGUAGUGGGUUUCAGGAAGUUGUUGGUAGUGGAGUUCAGGUACAUAGUAGUUGGUAGUGGGUUUCAGGAAGUAGUAGUAGUAGUAGUAGUAGUAGUAGUAGUGGAGGCAUGUAGCAUAUGUCUCAACCUCACAAACACACGUAUUUUAUGCAAGUUGGUAAUGAUACUUUCCACACAUAGAUUUGUCAAACAACACCAGGCAAAACAGGCAUAUCCCUACAUCAAGGCCUACUAGGCAUCAUUGACGACAACUCCCUCACCCAAACCAUAGACAAACCCACAAGAGGAGAACACAUCCUUGACAUAACACUCACAAAUCGAACAUCUAUCAUCAACAAACAAGAAAUAAUCCCACCCAUAGGCAAUGCAGAUCAUAUUAUGUACAGAAGCAGACAUUAGACUACACAAAGCUCGCAAACCACCUAGGAACAUUAACUUAUAUAACAAAGCAAACUGGGACAACAUCAGAAAAGACCUCACUGAUCUAUUAAAUUACAACUUUCCGGAACUCGAACAUCAAACGCAGAAGACAUCUAGGAAGCUUCAAAACAACACUUCAUACAUCUACAGAAAAAAACAUACCAAUAAAAUCACUAACAUUCAAACAGACUACCCUGGAUGAACAACUCACUUUGUUGCCUCUCAAACAAGUCUUAUUGCCUCCAUGCCAUCAUAAAUUAAGAACAAACAACAAACUAAUCCACAUAUACAAAACAAUUAAAAGCUGGAGUGCAAAUACACUGAGAAGAUGAUUACAGACUUACCAAUAGGUGAACUUGACGACCCCCGCACAAGGAACAAAUAUACAACCCUAAAAAAACUCUUUUCGUUCCUGAAAAUCACAAAAAAAGAUAAUCCAGAUAUCACAGCACUACGUAAAAUUGAGCACCAAACAACAGUGCCAGAAACAAAGGCAAACAUACUUAAUGAACAGUUCCAAGAAGCCUUCAAAACAGAACAAAACACAACAAUACCUGACAAAGGAAUAUCGCCCCACCCACCAAUGCCAGAUAAACACAUAACAAGCCAACUCAAGGAGUCAACAAACUACUCAAUAACAUCAACCCACACAAAGAAACAGGCCCAGACCAUAGACACGGCAGCUUGAAUACUGAAAGAACUUCAGGACAUUACAGCAUCAAUACUAUCAAACAUCACUCAAUACAGGAACAUUACCCAGUGACUGGAAACACGCCAACGUAAACCCCAUAUACAAAAAAAGGAGACAAAUACAACCCAACAAACUACAGACCAAUGUCACUCCCAGGCACCGAUGCAAACCUCUAGAACAUGUCUUCCCAAGUGCAGCCAUGAAACACUUAGAAGACAACAAAAUACUGCAUGACCUACAACAUGGCUUCCACACAUCAAGAUCUUGCGAAACACAACUUAACAACAACAAACAAACAUACAUUAUCAUUAUGGACUUUGUCAAAGUCCCAAUCAAACACUUACAGUACAAACUACAUUAUUACGGCAUCAACGGGACCACGCUAACAUGGAUCACAGAUUUUCUAUCACAACGCAUCCAAACAGUAUUACUUGAGGGUAAACACUAUGACAUCCCAGUAAUAUCUGGAGUGCCUCGAGGAACCUGUUUGGGACCAGUCCUCUUCCUCAUAUACACUGACAACUUCCCCUAAUACAUAUCACACAGUACACUAAGACUUUUCGCAGAUGACAGUAUACUCUGCAAAACCAUCAAUAACAAAAACGAUACAAUAAAACUACAAACAGAUUUAGACGCAGCUAGCAAAUGGGACAAGGACACACUCCCCGACCACACACUAGAAUCUGUAACAUCAAACAAAUAUCUAGGUCUCGCACUAAAAUAAACACUAAAACGGAACAAACACAUCCAACUACAUCACAUUCAAUGCAAAUAAAUCAGUAGCCUUUUUGAAACGCAACCUGAAAGUACAUAUAAGGCCAUCGUAAGACCUAAACUUGAAUACUGUUCUUCAGUUUGGGACACUCAUUACACAAAUAAUAUCAGAUCAAUUGGAAAAAGUACAACAAAGAGCAGUACGCUACGUCCUAAACAAAUACCAUAACACAAGCUCAGUCACAGAUAUGAUGCACAACUUGUAAUGGCCAACACUACACACACGCAGAACAAGAGCACGCAUUAUUCUUUUCUACAAAAUAAUACACCAAUAAGUAGCAAUACACUUGCACCACAUAUAACAUAAUCCAACACAUACAAAAUCAACAACACAAACAACACACUGUUUUUAACCAGAAUUUGAUCCUAUUCC
This 4387-nucleotide long non-coding RNA is filed under the name Mizuhopecten yessoensis (Yesso scallop). RNAcentral's name for it is "uncharacterized LOC110443495, transcript variant X2". Lineage: Eukaryota; Metazoa; Mollusca; Bivalvia; Pectinida; Pectinidae. The record is from RNAcentral.